AAAAAAAAAAAAAAAAAGGGGAAAAAACUAAGAAUGGAGAAAUAAUCGUUGAUUGUACAGUAUUGGACGAAGAGAGCUACAAUGAAAUGGGACCAUAACACAAGCAACCCCGAAACUUGUAGAAACGAAAAUCCAAAAUCAAAGAAACAAAACCCUAAAUUCAAUUGUACAAUAUAAAUAAUAUAACUAUAAGAACAGAAUACAACAGAAUUUAGGGCUUCUGAAAAGGGGAAGAAAACCCUAAUCCUAAUUUAAUUGAAAAACAAAGCUCAAAUAUGCACGGAUCAUGUGGUGAAACGAGCACCUCCACUUUAAUUAGAAUUACGUUCCUGCUCUGGUUAAAAAUCUCCGACCGUGGCGAUCAAUUAAGCCACAAAGCUUCAAAAGGAACUCGAGAGAAGGAGACACCAGGAGAGAAAUAGCGCGUCUGAGUCGAUGCUUGAUAAUGAUAAAAAGAGAGUGGAAGCGGAAA
This 472-nucleotide unclassified non-coding RNA is filed under the name Hevea brasiliensis (rubber tree). The record is from RNAcentral. Lineage: Eukaryota; Viridiplantae; Streptophyta; Magnoliopsida; Malpighiales; Euphorbiaceae.